Molecule: ribosomal RNA, 253 nt
Filed under: uncultured bacterium
Lineage: Bacteria
Description: partial 16S ribosomal RNA
Rfam family: Bacterial small subunit ribosomal RNA
Source: RNAcentral
UACGUAGGGUGCAAGCGUUGUCCGGAAUUAUUGGGCGUAAAGAGCUCGUAGGCGGUUCGUCGCGUCGGCUGUGAAAUCCCGAGGCUCAACCUCGGGUCUGCAGUCGAUACGGGCGGACUGGAGUACUGCAGGGGAGACUGGAAUUCCUGGUGUAGCGGUGAAAUGCGCAGAUAUCAGGAGGAACACCGGUGGCGAAGGCGGAUCUCUGGGCCAUUACUGACGCUGAGGAGCGAAAGCGUGGGGAGCGAACAGG